UACGUAGGGCGCAAGCGUUGUCCGGAAUUAUUGGGCGUAAAGAGCUCGUAGGCGGUCUGUCGCGUCGGAUGUGAAAGCCCGGGGCUUAACCCCGGGCGUGCAGUGGAUACGGGCUGGCUGGAGGCAGGCAGGGGAGAACGGAAUUCCCGGUGUAGCGGUGAAAUGCGCAGAUAUCGGGAGGAACACCGGUGGCGAAGGCGGUUCUCUGGGCCUGUACUGACGCUGAGGAGCGAAAGCGUGGGGAGCGAACAGG
Molecule: ribosomal RNA, 253 nt
Filed under: uncultured bacterium
Lineage: Bacteria
Description: partial 16S ribosomal RNA
Rfam family: Bacterial small subunit ribosomal RNA
Source: RNAcentral